Long non-coding RNA from Felis catus (domestic cat), 6372 nucleotides. RefSeq lists it as uncharacterized. The record is from RefSeq and is a predicted model, not a curated record. NCBI's taxonomy places the organism in Eukaryota, Metazoa, Chordata, Mammalia, Carnivora, Felidae. The transcript has 3 exons.
UACCAAUAAAGCCAUCUGGGACUAGACAUUUUUUGUAGGUAGUUUUUUGAGCUCUAAUUCAAUCUUUUUACCUGUUAUUAAUCUCUCAGAUUUCUGUCUCACCCUGAGUCAGUUUUGGUAGUUUGUGUCUUCCUAGGAAUUUAUUUGUCAAAUCUAAGUGUUCUAAUUUUUUGACAUACCUUUUGUUCAUAGGGACUAGACAUUGGUUCACAUGUCAUAGACUAUUAACAUUCUUACUGAGUAUUAGUGGAUUUUCUUGAAUAUAUGUUUCUUCAUUUUUCUCUUAAGAAAAUUGCAGAGGAUUAAAUUUCUUAGAAAAUAAUUUUCACCAGUUACACUUGUUUUGCUGGGGAGUAGGUUUGUAGGCCUCUGUAGGCCACCAUUCUAGAAGUGAAAUUUAUCCCUAGUGCUUGCCACUGAGCUUGCCAAAAAGCAGGUAUCUGACAAAUAUUUACUGAAUGGAUUUUCAGUAGAUGUUUUUCCUUGGUGUAUUUUCAAGAAAGAGAUAACAAAGAUUUCAUCUGUGGGAUCACUUUGCCAUUUUCUCCUCCUUGUAGGGUACUCUGGGCUAAGAGCACAGGGGAAAUGCAACUGCUCUCUACUAUAUUACCCACUAGGGUUGGACCAGUUUCCUUAUCUAGUUUUUUACUAUGAUGAACCUGGCAAACCAUAUGCGUGUUGUGACCCUUCCUGUUACAAAGCAGACUGGGAGAUAUCUUUGUUCUCUUCCUUCUAGGUUCAUAUCCAAAGUUUGGACUUUCCUUCCAGUCUUUGGUUUUAACACUCUUGUGGAAAGAAGCACAAUGGCCAAAUGAAUCCAAGGAAACAGCUUUCCUCCCCAUAGACUGCAGUAGAUAGGUCACAUUACUGAGUCCUUCCCAGUGAACUUCCUAGUUGGGAUUUAAGGUAUCAGUCACAUUCUUUUCUUUAUGGGCUUAGAACUAGUGAAAACAAUAGACACAGAGCCUGAAAUAUCAACUGGAUUUAUAACUACAAUUGGCCCAGAUGCCCUGGCUGCACAGUCAACCAAUUAAAUCAGAAUCUCUGGGUGGGGCUCAGUUGUUCUAGGUGUUUAAGCUCUGCUGCUGAUUCCCAUAUUAAGCCAAUGCUAAAAAAGUGGGAGGUUCCAAGAACCAAGGGCAUCAGUACCACCUGAGACCUUGUUAAUGUGUAGAAUCACCACUUGCAGCUUCUCGGUAUUCCCAGGUCAUUCAUUUUCAUGUUAACAUUUCGGAAGCACCCCAGAACACUACUUCUUAAACUUUAGCUCUUAAAAGAUCCCCUAGAGAGCUUUCGAAAACAGCAGUUCCUGGGCCCCAACUCCAGGGUUUCAGGUUCAGUCUGCCUGGAAUGAAGCCGGGCAAUUUGCAUUUCUAACAGAUUCACGGGUGUUGCCACUGCUGCUGGUACAUCGACCACACGUUGUAAAUUGGUUUCGUAGGCCCAAGUGUUCUUACUACUGAAGAACGUGAGGGGGAGGAGUGUUUGCACCUUCUAUAGUUCAAAGGUGAAGAGGCAGUCCAGGCCGUGGGUGUCUAGGGAUUCUUUUCCUCAGGACGCAGCUUGAUAAGAUCCUCUUAUUUUGAGGAGAAGAGGGAAGGGAGUGGAAAGAAGGUUUGAGGUGCUAUCUGGGAUACUUACGAAAGAGAAAAUGCAUAUUUUCCUGUGACAAGAUAGGAACCUCCAGAAGAGACCAAGUGGUUCUCUUCUCUCUGCUCUAGUCUUCCAGAGAUGAGAUCUCUCCAGAGACAGAGGAGGCCCAGUCCUAUUUUUUAUACCACACAUAUGGGAUAAAAUUUAAGGUGGAGAAAAAGACUCAAAGUGCCCAGAGAGAGGCAAGUCAGAAGAAAUGGAUUCAAGAGUGGUUCUUCAAGUGCCCAUGCUUUCUCUGGCAUCUGGUCUUCACGGCUGCUGAACCCGCAUCUCAUCCAGGCUUUGCAUGAAACAGUUACUUCAAAACAGAUGCGACAGUCUUCUAGGCAGUCAGGAUUCAGCUCAACUUCUAAUCAGAAUCAAGCUGCAGUAUCCUGCUGAAACGGGUGAAGGUCAUGGUGCUCCCAUAUUCUCAGAAAAUAGACCACCACUACACAACAUGUUCUUCUGUUGCUGGACCACAAUCCACAUCCCGGAUGAACCCUCGACACAGCCCCUUGGGAAAUCUGUUGCCUCCUGCUCUACCUGGCCAAGAAUUGCCCCCUCUCCACACUGCUGCCACCAUGGGUGCAGAUGCAACCCUCUCACAUCCUUAAAACCCCUUAAAAGGCCCAACCUAAUAGAAACUCGGGGCUGACAUUUCUCUUGAUGUCUGGCCCCUAUCCUCCCUUGGAGAAUGAGUAAAUUCUGUCUUGCUUGUUCCUUCAUUCUGUGCCAAUCUUUGUCACCUGUGUCACCAGUCACCCUAACCCUUAUUUUCACCAAAAUGUAACCAUGAGGCCAUAAAGGGUGUAACCUAGGUUAUGUAUCUUAGGGGUUUAUUGUAUAGCAGAGUGCCUUUGGAAAAAUCAGAAGACCCUCAUAGCCAUAGUGCUACUGACUUGACAUACUAUCGUAGCCUGAUGCUUGAUUGAAGGUUGAUGCUUUUGGUACUUCUUUACCUGAUAUCAGAGGUAGGGAAAGUUUGAGAUAUGUCAGUCUAUAAAUUCUGAUUCUCUUAAUUAGAAAAUAGAUACUCUUGUCUGGGGGACCUUUCUGUCCUUUAUGCUUCACUAGAAAAUGUCUCAAACAUAGUUUAAUACACUCAUGUUUUGUCUGCACUAAUUGUUUUUCACAAAACAGUUUGAAGUAUGAAUAUACAAUCUUUGGUUAGCAGUGACCACUUAGUGUUCACAUGUAAAAUAUUUCACAAUUUCAAAUAACAUUUUUUUUUUUUAAAGUACUGUAGGGUAUUAAUUGAGAAUGCAUUUAUUUUGAUAAUUUUAUCAUAAGGUGAACUGGAUUAUAUUAUAGCCUCCCAGAAAGAUAUGUGCAAGUCCGAAUUCCUAGAACCUGUGAAUAUUACCUGUUUAGAAAAAAGAUUUUGCAGAUGUAAUUAAAGGAUUUUAAGAUAACCAGAUAAUCCUGGAUUAUCCAGGUGGAUUCUAAAUCCAGUGACAGGCAUCCUUAUAAGAAGACAUAGACCCUCAGAGGAGGUGACAUGAAGGGCCCACUUACAAGCUCACAUGUUGGCAAAAUUAAUUUUCUUGCUCCUGUAGUACUGAAGUAGUUGUUUUCUUGCUAGCUGUGGUUUGGGAACAGUUCUUGACUCCUAAAAAACCUUGCUUAAUGGCCCCCUUUAUGUUUAAAGUCAAUGGUAUGAAUCCUUCUCAUGCUUUGAAUAUCUCUGAAUUCCUUUUCUGCAACUAGCUGAAGAAAAAGAUUUUCUUUUAAAGGAUUUAUGUGAUAAUCACCCAAACAAUCUCCUUAUGUUAAUAUCAACUGAUUUGGGAUUUUAAUUAUAUCUGCAAAAUCCCUUCAUAGUACUACUUUAGAUAAGUGUUAGAUUGCUUAACUGGAAAAGCCAUGCAUACCCCACGGCCUAAGAAUCUUAUGGGGACUCUGUCAAAAUUCUGCCCACUAUAGUGCCUUGCUUAAAAUAAUAUUAAAAAAAUAGACAAAAUGUAUAAAACAAUGGUUUUCAUGUCAUGGGAUGUCAGGCAAUGAUAGAUAGUAGUUGCUAAGAGAUGGGGGAAAAAAGGAGGAGGUAAAUUCUACCAGUGCCUACAGGGAGAGGGUUUCCAAGCUACCACACAGGGAGAAGAAACCCAGUAAGAGCCCAGCAGUUUCUCUAAACUAAGGAGAUGGAACUAAACCCCUGUUAGGCCAAGAGCAGAGUUCUGGAGAAGAGAGAGAGAAAUAAUGAGAACUCUAGAAAUCUCAAAGGGUUUCCUUCAUGUCUUCAGUUGAACACUGAUCUGCAUAUGCAUGUGGGGAGUUAGCAUGGUUGGAGAGAAAACCACUCAGAGGACUGAGCAGAUUGAAGGAAUGGUCUCUAGGACAAGACUGGAAAUUAUUCUUCUUCCUUCCAGAUACAGUGAGAAAUGUCAUAAUUGAUGGACUACUCAGAAUAUUCUGAAGUGCAUUGUCUCAAUAGUAGGUUAAUAUUAGCUCUAGACUAAAUUCUGUUCUCAUCUCAAUGUAAUAAAGCUUAAAAGUGUGUAAGGAUCAAACUGUUCCAAGCAAAUAACUGCAGUCCGGGGUAAAAAAAAAAAAAUAAAGAAUAUUUGCGUCUAAAAAUAUAUAGUACCCAACAAGGUAAAAUUUCAUAAUCCAAUAAAAAUUUGCAAGGAUGGAAGGAAAUAGGAGAAAAGGACUUAUGACAAAGUCAAUCAAUACAAACAUGGCCUAGAAAUGGUACAGAUGAUACAAUUAGUAGAUGACAUGAUGAAAACAGUUAUUUAGCUGUGUGCCCUAUGUUCAAGAAUGUAGAUAAAGGUUAUGGAGAGACAUGGAAUAUUAAAAAGACCAAAAUUGAAUUUCCAGGGAUAAAACUGACAAUGUCUAAGAUGAAAAAUACACUGAAUGGGAUUAAUAAUAGGGUAUACUGCAGAAGAAAAGAUGAGUGAAUUUGUAGAUAUAGCAAUAGAAACUAUCCAAAAAAUGAAAAAAAAAAACAGAAUAAGAAAAAAAAAUGAACAGCACAUCAAUGAGUAUGGGACACAAUUUCAUUUCUAUAUAUUAACAACACAUAAGCAGGAAUUGAAAUGUUUAAAAAUGCCAUUUUACCAUAGCAUAAUGAACAAAAAAUGCUUAGGGAGAAUUUUUUUAAACAUGCAUAAUAGCUGUACAAUGAAUAGUUCAAAAUAUUGCUGAGAGAAAUCAAAGGUCUAAAUAACAGAGAUCUGAACUCAAAUACCUCAUAUUGCUAAGGUGUCAAUUAUCCCCAUAAAUUGGUGUGUAUGUAUAUUUUCAACAUAAUCCCAAUUCAAAUCCUAUGAAAGCUUUUUAGAUUGACAAAUUGUUUCUUGAAAUAUCUAAGGUAGCAAACUUUGACAAAAAGAAAUUUGAAGGGUUUACACUACCUGAUUUCAAGACUUAUUUAAAGCUACAGUAAUCAAGAUAGUGUGCUAUUUGUCUAAGGGUAGACAAAUAGAUCAAUCAAACAGAAGAGAGAGCAGAGAAUUAGAACUAUACCUUGAAUUUUGACAAAGAAGCCAAGGUAAUUAGUGGAUAAAGGAUAGUCCUUUUAGUAACUUGUGUCAAAACAAUUGCAUAUCUAUAUGCAGAAACAUGAACUUCAGUAUUUCUUACCAUAUAUGCUAUUAACUCAAAUCAUUUAUGCACCUAAAUGUAAACCCUAAAACUACAGACCUUUUGGAAUAAAACCUACGAGAAACCUUUAUAAUCUUGAUUUAAGCUAGUAUUUCUUAGAUAUAACACUAAAGUAUCCAUGAAAGAGCAAAGGAUAAAUUAAGCUUCAUUAUUACUUAAAAUUUUCUCUCUUUGAAAGACAUUUAUAAAAGAAUGAAAAGACAGGCCACAGACUACUUAUCAAAUUUUGAUAGAGAACUUUUACUCAAACAUACAAAAUAACUAUUAACAUGCUCAUAAUGAAUUCAAUAAAAAAUGGGCAAAAUAUUUGAGCUAAUAUUUUAUCAGAGAUGAUAUAUGAAAUAUGUAGUAGGCGGAAUAAUGGCUUCCCAAAGAUAUUUAUGUCAUAAUCCCCAGAACAUAUGAAUAGGCUACCUUUUGGCAGAGGGGAAUUAAGGUGGCAGAUGUAAUUAAGGUUGCUAGGCAUUUGAAGUUAAAAUAGGGAGAUUAGCUGAUAUAAUUGGAGUCCUUUAAGGACUGUGUAUCAGAGGCUGAAGAGUCUGGGUCAGAAAUAUACAACGUAAGAAAGAUUCAUUACUGGCCAUUACCAGCUUUGAAGAUGCAGGAAGGGGCCAUGAGCUAUGGCAUAUGUGGGCAGUCUCUAAAUGUUGAAAAAGUCAAGAAAAGAGAUUUACUCUUUAGAGCCUCCAGAAAGGAAUACAGCUUGGCCAGUGCCUUGAUUUUAGGCCUGUCAGACCCAUUUCAGCCUUCAGACCUCCUAUAAUAAAUUUGUGUUGUUUAAAGCCACUAAAUAAUUUGUGCUAGUUUCCUAUUGCUUCUGGAACAAAUUAAUACAGACAGUAAAUAAGUACAUGGGUAGUUGUUCAACAUCAUUAGCAUUAGGCAAAAGCAAACUAAAACCGCAAUGAAAUACCAUUGUACUAAAUAUUAGAAUGGCUAAAAUUAAAAAUACUGGUCAUACUGGGUUUUGGUGAGGAUGUGGAGGAACUGAGACUCUCAGACACUGCUGUUGGAGAUGCAUGAUGGAACAGCCACUAGGAAAACACUUUGGCAGUUUUUUUAACAGUUUAAUGAUCUGUCUAUCAUAUGCUGUAUCUAUUCAACUCCUGGGUAUUUAGGUGAAAU